GCCGCGAUAGCUCAGUCGGUAGAGCACUUCCAUGGUAAGGAAGGGGUCCCGGGUUCAAAUCCCGGUCGUGGCUCCA
This 76-nucleotide transfer RNA is filed under the name Candidatus Peregrinibacteria bacterium CG10_big_fil_rev_8_21_14_0_10_36_19. RNAcentral describes it as "tRNA-Thr". It matches the Rfam family "tRNA". Rfam says of the family: Transfer RNA (tRNA) molecules are approximately 80 nucleotides in length. Their secondary structure includes four short double-helical elements and three loops (D, anti-codon, and T loops). The record is from RNAcentral. Lineage: Bacteria; Candidatus Peregrinibacteriota.